This 288-nucleotide unclassified non-coding RNA is filed under the name Hevea brasiliensis (rubber tree). The record is from RNAcentral. Lineage: Eukaryota; Viridiplantae; Streptophyta; Magnoliopsida; Malpighiales; Euphorbiaceae.
AGCUAGAAUCUGACAUCUGAGUGGUCUUGAGAUGUGAUUGGUUACUUUCUCUUGUAUCAUUCCUCUCUCCAGAUUUGUUUCUCACUAAAUUAAUGUGGUUAUCCAUUUUAGUAAUAAUGCUUGCAGUUCGGUCAAUAAUGUUAGGCCCCUUGCCACUUGCAGGUUCACGACUAGAAAGGAUAAGCUCUCCCUCACUUUUCACUUGAGUCUCUGAUUCAACAGCCAAUAGCCAUGCUCUAGUUUCAAUUUCUCUCAAAAGAUGCAAGGGACAAACUGGGCUGCAUUGAG